This 1368-nucleotide ribosomal RNA is filed under the name metagenome. RNAcentral describes it as "SSU rRNA". It matches the Rfam family "Eukaryotic small subunit ribosomal RNA", at positions 400 to 1801 of the family's 1831-position model. The record is from RNAcentral.
AAAAUGGCUACCACAUCCAAGGAAGGCAGCAGGCGCGCAAAUUACCCAAUCCCAGAAUGGGGAGGUAGUGACGAAAAAUAACGAGACAGUCCACUAUGUGGCCUGUCAUCGGAAUGGGUACAAUUUAAAAACUUUAACGAGGAUCUAUUAGAGGGCAAGUCUGGUGCCAGCAGCCGCGGUAAUUCCAGCUCUAAUAGCGUAUAUUAAAGUUGUUGUGUUAAAACGCCCGUAGUUGGAUCUUCGGUCUUGAGGCUCGGUAGCUCGUAAGGGCUUAACUGAGUCCUCUGGCCUAAAUUUUAGUAUUCUCCUGAUGCUCUUUAUUGAGCGUCUUGAGUUGCUAGAACGUUUACUUUGAAAAAAUUAGAGUGCUAAAAGCAGGCUAUAUGCUUGAAUAAAGUGCAUGGAAUAAUGGAAUAGGACUUUAGUUUUAUUUUGUUGGUUUUCGAAAUUAAAGUAAUGAUUAAGAGGAACAGACGGGGGCAUUCGUAUUGUUGCGUUAGAGGUGAAAUUCUUGGAUCGCAGCAAGACGAACAACUGCGAAAGCAUUUGCCAAGAAUGUUUUCAUUAAUCAAGGACGAUAGUUAGAGGUUCGAAGGCGAUCAGAUACCGCCCUAGUUCUAACCGUAAACGAUGCCAACUAGCGAUCCGUCGGUGUUAAGAUUUGACUCGGCGGGCAGCUUCCGGGAAACCAAAGUUUUCUGGUUCCGGGGGAAGUAUGGUUGCAAAGCUUAAACUUAAAGGAAUUGACGGAAGGGCACCACCAGGAGUGGAGCCUGCGGCUUAAUUUGACCCAACACGGGGAAACUCACCCGGCCAGGACACAAUAAGGAUUGACAGAUUGAUAGCUCUUUCUUGAUUUUGUGGGUGGUGGUGCAUGGCCGUUCUUAGUUGGUGGAGCGAUUUGUCUGGUUAAUUCCGAUAACGAACGAGACUCUAGCCUAUUAAAUAGACGAUAAAUUUUUAGUAUAUCGAGCUUCUUAGAGGGACAAGCAGCUUCUAGCUGCACGAGAUUGAGCAAUAACAGGUCUGUGAUGCCCUUAGAUGUCCGGGGCUGCACGCGCGCUACAAUGAAAAUAGCAGCGUGCUUUAAAACCUUUUCUGGUAAGAAUUGGUAAACACGAAAUAUUUUCGUGCUUGGGAUAGGGGAUUGCAAUUAUUGCCCUUAAACGAGGAAUUCCCAGUAAGUGCAAGUCAUUAGCUUGCGUUGAUUACGUCCCUGCCCUUUGUACACACCGCCCGUCGCUACUACCGAUUGGAAGAUUUAGUGAAUUCUUCGGACUGGACUCGAAGUGAUGUAAAAGUCGCUACGAGAUUCGGAAAGAUGAAUGAACCAAAUUUUCUAGAGGAAGUAAAAGUCGUAACAAGGUU